Long non-coding RNA from Pongo pygmaeus (Bornean orangutan), 2457 nucleotides. RefSeq lists it as uncharacterized. The record is from RefSeq and is a predicted model, not a curated record. The transcript is spliced from 2 exons. Lineage: Eukaryota; Metazoa; Chordata; Mammalia; Primates; Hominidae.
UUAUAUCACUGGGAAAACAGCUCUUGUAUCCUGAGAUUUUCUGUUUUAGGAAUCUUCUCAACUCUUGGAUGCCAAAAUUACUUGGUUUGUUGGGUGUAUCAACCCGUCCAGCCAUUCCUGGCUCCCUCUUGUGGUGCCAAACCGGUACUGCAGCAUCAGGAAGCAUCUCAUCCCCACUCGGUGCUCUGCCUCCAUCCACAAAGACAAGUGCCUUACAGACUUGUCACAUUCUAUGGGAUGCAGCAUGAAAAUCAGGAGGCAUCCUUUUUCUGCUGGGGGGUGGGGGGGAAAGUGGAAUAAAUAUGGAUCCUUCUCAUUUCGUAGGAGAAAUAAUAAUGAGCUGAAGAUGUGGUGAUUCACCUUGAUUUUCAUUCACCUCACUCCAGCUUGUAGGAGAAUCUAUGCCUCAUGCGUUCAUAUGAUGCUCAAGUCUGGAAUAGGCAAUUGGUUCCUUGUCCUGUGUUUACAUUUUAAAUCCAUUCUUUAUAUCUACAGGUACACAUUAAGGGAGUGGAUUUUGUUAACUGGUGAUUCAUAGUGGGCACUGAAGGCUCAAUAUAUCUGCCCUCAAGGAGCUCUUAGUCUCAAGGGGUUGACAGAUAAGUCAGUCAAUUAUCAUAAGAAGGUGUAAUAAGUUCAACAGUAGACGCAUGCUCAGCAGGCUUUGCAGACACAACGCAGCCCUUCGGCCAGGCCUGAAGGUCAGGGAAGGCUGUCCAGAGGACGCCAUGUAUGAGCUCGGUCUUGCAGACAAGUAGGAACUAGCCAAGCAAAACUGAGAAGUGUGUUCAAAGGAAGGGCCCAGUUCAACAAGCGCACGGAGUUUGGUCCGACUGGCAUGUUGGGGUUGGAGAGUUACUCAAAUGUCUGACCUGGUAGGGGCACAGUGUGCCGAACUCAGGAACUGGACCUUCAUUAUAAAGGCUGUGCGGGAGGAGUGAGUUAGGGUCCUAGGGCUGCUGUCACAAAGGACCACACACCGGGGCUUACAACAACAGAGCUUUACUGUCUUCCAGGUCUGGAGGUUGGAAACUGAAGGUUCAGGUAUCUGCAGGGCUGGAUUCUUCUGAGAGCGGUUCCUGUGGCAUUCUCCCUGUGUGCACGCCUGUGGACAUGGCUCCUUCAUCUAAGGGCAAAGUCAUAUUGGAUUAGAGCCUACCCUGAUGACCUCAUCUUCACUGGAUCGUCUGCAAAGACCCUAUUUACAAAUAAGGUCACAUUCACAGGUUCUGCGGGUUAGGACUUCAACACUUUUUGUGGGAAACACAACUCACCUCCAUAGGAGGGAGCACAGACUCUGAGUGGGCCGUCUGGCCCCAGGGAGGUCAACCAGAGAAGGUGGAUGGGUACAGCAGGUGGCCGGGCUCCGUUGUCGGUGGUGCUGCCUCGGGUGCGGUCCAGAAGCAGUUCUUCCCUACGCUGGGUUGCACAUCAAUUCUUCAAGUGGACCUGGAAUGUAGGAAUCGCCUCCCAGAAAACACUGCCAAAAAACAAUGACUUUUAAGCAAAAUAAAUCCAUAUUUCUCUGUCUACAUAGGUACAUAUAUUUGUUUCUAAAAAUUGAAAAAGAAAUUUGCCAGGAAAGAGUCUUAUCGACAUUGAAGAAAGACUCUUAGAGGAACCCAAAUUACAGGGCAUAGAGGGUGAGAAUGGCACUGACUUUGAUAGCAUGUGCUUAUCUAGAAGGUAUUCUAAACUUGACUUGUUUGCAGGAGGUACAUGAGAGAAUAUAACAGCUGAUGUGGCUCGACCACAAGACAGUGUCCAUUACUCAGCUCAGCUCAUCUCUGUCUAUACCAGUGAGCAACUCAGCCAUUUAAAAACAGCAGUUGCUGCUCAUGACCUGGUGUUUGCUACUCGCUCUUCUCUAGCUAAAGUCACCCAAGAUGUGCAUUUUCGGAUGAAGCCAACAUCGAAUGGGGCCCAGAGCAGCAGGGUGGAGAGCUGCAGUGGCUGCUAUAGCCAGGGAAGGCUGGAGCCACAUCGCAGAAGGGUGACUUCCCGUACAUGUGACUCAGCCUGGGAGCACCUGUUUCCUGUUUGAACAUUGGGAUAAAAAGUCCUUCACAGGAUUUUUCUGAGGAUAAAUGAGGAAAUGACAAGUAAAACAUAGAGUACAUUUUGGUGAUAAAAUAUUAAGUUGUUCAUGCAGUUCCACUGUGAAUGUGGAUGAGGCUCCCAACAGGGGUACCCACUCAGCACUCCUGCUUCAAGCACAGAAGGACCCUCUUCCCUCCUGUUUUCCUUGUAGGACCUGAGAAAUGAACAGCUCACAUCAUGGCUCAUGCGACCCAGGGGUGCAAGGAAGUGGUUGUGCUACAGCCUGUGGUUAAUGCAAAGAAAAAUGGAGUCAAUAUUUUCAUAUUGGAAAAUCUGAAUUUGCAGUAUCAAAAGUCAUUCACUUGUUCUCCUAGGCAACUAUCUGCGUCUUUUAAAAAUAUAUUUUUGUUUAUUCUU